GGGGGAAUAUUGCACAAUGGGCGCAAGCCUGAUGCAGCCACGCCGCGUGAACGAUGAAGGUCUUGGGAUCGUAACGUUCUGUUGCAGGGGAAGAUAAUGACGGUACCCGGAGAGGAAGCCCCGGCUAACUACGUGCCAGCAGCCGCGGUAAUACGGAGGGGGCUAGCGUUAUCCGGAUUUACUGGGCGUAAAGGGUGCGUAGGUGGUCUUUCAAGUCGGUGGUUAAAGGCUACGGCUCAACCGUAGUUAGCCUCCGAAACUGGAAGACUUGAGUGCAGGAGAGGAAAGUGGAGUUCCCAGUGUAGCGGUGAAAUGCGUAGAUAUUGUGAGGAACACCAGUAGCGAAGGCGGCUGUCUGGACUGCAACUGACACUGAGGCACGAAAGCGUGGGUAGCAAACAGG
This 403-nucleotide ribosomal RNA is filed under the name Verrucomicrobiota bacterium. Its description in RNAcentral is "Verrucomicrobia bacterium partial 16S ribosomal RNA". It matches the Rfam family "Bacterial small subunit ribosomal RNA", at positions 355 to 776 of the family's 1533-position model. The record is from RNAcentral. Lineage: Bacteria; Pseudomonadati; Verrucomicrobiota.